AAUUUGCCUAGCCGUAAAAAAUUUACCACAACACCAAGCGCCCGGGUAUUACGAGUGCAAACUUAAAAUCCAAAGGAUUUGACGGUGUCCCACCCACCUAGAGGAGCCUGUUCUAUAAUCGAUAAUCCUCGAUAUACCUCACCAUUUCUUGCUAUCCAGUCUGUAUACCUCCGUCGUAAGCUUACCAUUUGAGUGCAAAAAAGUAAGUUUAAUGAUUAUGCAUCAACACGUCAGGUCAAGGUGCAACCAAUGAAAAGGGAAGCAAUGGGCUACAAUCUCUAUAAUAGAACACACGAAAUACUACAUGAAAAAUAGUCAUGAAGGCGGAUUUAGUAGUAAAAGAAGAAUAGCAUGCUUCUUUUAAUAAGGCUCUGGGACGUGUACAAACCGCCCGUCACCCUCUUCAAUAGCAUACAUCAAUUUAUAAUCAUCAGAAGCACUUUAGAAGAGGCAAGUCGUAACAUGGUAAGAGUGUUGGGGAGAGCGCUUUUUGGAUAAAAAAAUGGCUUAUAUAAAACACCCCCCUCACUAACCACAAAAAUAUGUUUUUUACACCUCAUAUUUUGUG
Molecule: ribosomal RNA, 568 nt
Filed under: Guibemantis albomaculatus
Lineage: Eukaryota; Metazoa; Chordata; Amphibia; Anura; Mantellidae
Description: partial 12S ribosomal RNA
Rfam family: Bacterial small subunit ribosomal RNA (bases 1-506)
Source: RNAcentral